GUGCUCACUUUGGCAGCACAUACGCUAAAACUGGAAUGAUACAGAGAAGAUUAGCAUGGCCCCUGUGCAAGGAUGACAUGCAAAUUAAAAAAAAUUUUUUUUUGUUU
Small nuclear RNA from Pan troglodytes (chimpanzee), 107 nucleotides. The record is from Ensembl. NCBI's taxonomy places the organism in Eukaryota, Metazoa, Chordata, Mammalia, Primates, Hominidae.